RNAcentral lists this ribosomal RNA (790 nucleotides) under uncultured Pseudoalteromonadaceae bacterium. RNAcentral's name for it is "bacterial SSU rRNA". It matches the Rfam family "Bacterial small subunit ribosomal RNA", at positions 56 to 845 of the family's 1533-position model. The record is from RNAcentral. Lineage: Bacteria; Pseudomonadati; Pseudomonadota; Gammaproteobacteria; Alteromonadales; Pseudoalteromonadaceae.
UGCAGUCGAGCGGUAACAUUUCUAGCUUGCUAGAAGAUGACGAGCGGCGGACGGGUGAGUAAUGCUUGGGAAUAUGCCUUAGGGUGGGGGACAACAGUUGGAAACGACUGCUAAUACCGCAUAACGUCUACGGACCAAAGGGGACUUCGGCUCUCGCCCUUAGAUUAGCCCAAGUGGGAUUAGUUAGUUGGUGAGGUAAUGGCUCACCAAGGCGACGAUCCCUAGCUGGUUUGAGAGGAUGAUCAGCCACACUGGAACUGAGACACGGUCCAGACUCCUACGGGAGGCAGCAGUGGGGAAUAUUGCACAAUGGGCGCAAGCCUGAUGCAGCCAUGCCGCGUGUGUGAAGAAGGCCUUAGGGUUGUAAAGCACUUUCAGUAAGGAGGAAAGGUUAGUAGUUAAUACCUGCUAGCUGUGACGUUACUUACAGAAGAAGCACCGGCUAACUCCGUGCCAGCAGCCGCGGUAAUACGGAGGGUGCGAGCGUUAAUCGGAAUUACUGGGCGUAAAGCGUACGCAGGCGGUUUGUUAAGCGAGAUGUGAAAGCCCCGGGCUCAACCUGGGAACUGCAUUUCGAACUGGCAAACUAGAGUAUGAGAGAGGGUGGUGGAAUUUCAGGUGUGGCGGUGAAAUGCGUAGAGAUCUGAAGGAAUACCGAUGGCGAAGGCAGCCACCUGGGUCAAUACUGACGCUCAUGUACGAAAGCGUGGGGAGCAAACGGGAUUAGAUACCCCGGUAGUCCACGCCGUAAACGAUGUCUACUAGGAGCUGUGGUCUUCGGACAACUUUU